AGGGUUUGAUCCUGGCUCAGAGUGAUCGCUGGCGGCGUGGAUUAGGCAUGCAAGUCGAGCGAUUUUUGUAUUGCAAGAAGGCUGAUCUUCGGAAAGGCUGACGAGUAAUACGGAAAUAGCGGCAAACGGGUGAGUAACGCGUGGGUAACCUACCGUGAGGAGGAGGACAGCUUCGCGAAAGCGGAGGUAAUACUCCAUGAUAUUUUAAAUCGUCGGAUUUAAAAUUAAAGAUGGCCUCUGUUUACAAGCUAUCGCCUUAUGAGGGGCCCGCGUCCUAUCAGGUAGUUGGCAGGGUAAUGGCCUACCAAGCCUAAGACGGGUAGCUGGCGUUAGAGCGUGACCAGCCACAUCGGGACUGAGACACCGCCCGGACUCCUACGGGAGGCUGCAGUCGAGAAUCUUUCCCAAUGGACGAAAGUCUGAGGAUGCGACGCCGCGUUAGGGAUGAAGUUCUUCGGAUUGUAAACCUUUUUUAUUGAGGAGGAAAAUUUCAAAAGUGAAUAAUUUUUGAAGUGUGACUGUACUCAAUGAAUAAGUCACGGCUAACUCCGUGCCAGCAGCCGCGGUAAUACGGAGGUGGCAAGCGAUACUCGGUUUGACUGGGUGUAAAGGGUCCGCAGGCGGCCAUAUAAGUGAAAGGUGAAAUCUUUCGGCUUAACCGAAAAAUUGCCUUUCAAACUAUAUGGCUUGAGUAUGGAAGAGGAGAGUGGAACUGUCGGUGUAAAGGUGAAAUUUGUGGAUAUCGACAGGAACGCCCGUGGGGAAGCCGGCUCUCUGGUCCAUUUCUGACGCUCAGGGACGAAAGCUAGGGGAGCGAACAGGAUUAGAUACCCCGGUAGUCCUAGCCGUAAACGAUGGGCACUAGGUGCUUGUUCUUUAAGAAUGGGUGCCGUAGCUAACGCAUUAAGUGCCCCACCUGGGGACUACGGCCGCAAGGCUAAAACUCAAAGGAAUUGACGGGGGCCCGCACAAGCGGUGGAACACGUGGUUUAAUUCGAUGCUACGCGAGAAACCUUACCAGGGUUUGACAUGCUGGAAGUAGUUUCCCGAAAGGGUUUCCGAUCGGUAACCAGUCCGAAACCAGCACAGGUGCUGCAUGGCUGUCGUCAGCUCGUGCCGUGAGGUGUUCCCUUAAGUGGGAAAACGAGCGCAACCCUCGCUUUUAGUUGCUAGUUUUGGUUUAAUCCAAAACGCACUCUAGAGGGACUGCCCGCGUUAAGUGGGAGGAAGGUGGGGAUGACGUCAAGUCCGCAUGGCCCUUAUGUCCUGGGCUACACACGUGUUACAAUGUCUGUUACAACGGGAUGCCAAGUCGCAAGACGGAGCAAAUCUCUAAAAAAUAGACUCAGUACGGAUUGCAGGCUGCAAUUCGCCUGCAUGAAGCUGGAAUCGCUAGUAAUGGCGCAUCAGCACGGCGCCGUGAAUACGUUCCCGGGCCUUGUACACACCGCCCGUCAAGCGCUGAAAGUUGGAAGCACCCGAAGCUCCGAUUUAUCGGAUUCACGGUGAAGUUAGUGAUUGGCGCUAAGUCGUAACAAGGUA
Molecule: ribosomal RNA, 1542 nt
Filed under: metagenome
Description: bacterial SSU rRNA
Rfam family: Bacterial small subunit ribosomal RNA
Source: RNAcentral